RNAcentral lists this long non-coding RNA (2739 nucleotides) under Triticum aestivum (bread wheat). RNAcentral's name for it is "long non-coding RNA (TAES_LNC027838)". The record is from RNAcentral. Lineage: Eukaryota; Viridiplantae; Streptophyta; Magnoliopsida; Poales; Poaceae.
UGGAGGAGGACUUGGUGGUGCUAAGGAAUGGAGUACUACAAGGACGGACGCCGCUUCCGUUGAACUCAGGUGAGCUUGCGAAUUCGCGAUGGCCUUGGUGAUUUUACUGUUACUGCUACUCUAUUAGUCAUGGAAUUCGGGAGAUCUUGGGUUCGAAUUUUAUUUUCUGGGAUUUUUAUCGGGGUGUAUGCAACUGUAUAACUGUAAAUUGGCUUGCCCCUGGGUGUUCUUGGUUGGUGAUUCGACAAUGAUUUGAAGCGGUCUGGCUUAUCAGCCGGUGGUUAGGUGGAGUCGGGUUAUUAUAGUUUCGGUAUAGGAGGGGGAAAGGUGGCACAAAUCUGGGGGCAGGGCAUGUUUCUGCCUGAUUGAUCCAAUCAUUUUUUUUCUUCUGGUAUCAAUCAAUCAUGCCAGCAUCUGAAACGGAUUAUCAAAUCUGAAUUGGCACUGUUUUUUAUAUAUAAUGAUACCAUACAGCUCGAGAUGAACAUAUGCUUGACUGAAUAGUUGUUCAUACAUCUGGAGGUGUUACUAUGAGUACAAUUACCAUUCAGAAAGAAAGAAACUAUGAGUAAAAUGCAGAGAACGCACUUCCAGACUAUCAAUCAUGCAUGCCCAUAUCAUUUGCUUUGCUUAAUGUUUCUUAGUUUAACUUACUAAUCUCUUGUCUGUGUAAUUUUUGCUGCCAGAAGGGAUCCAAAUAGGUUGCAACUGGGAGUAAAAUAUGUGUCUAAACUGAUUGUCUGGUGCGAAAAUCGACGACCAAGAUCCAGUUAUGUGUAUUGUAGGACAACACCUUUCAUUAGAUACACUUUGAUGCUAUUUCUAGCAUGAAUUUCUAUUUCAGACUUAGAACUAAAAUUCUGAACAACUAAAAUCGCUCUUGUUCCUUAUUUUUGUAGGGCGGUUCCUCUCGUUUUACUGGUUCGUCCGCUCCUUCAUGAUUGAUGUACUGGUUCUGGCCGCUCCUUCGUGAUAGACUCGGUUAACUCUUUGUUGGCCUUGUGGGUCGUAAUUGUUUCUCUCCAUAUGCAUAUACUUCCUGAUGUAUUGCUCAUGCUCAUUCUGUACCGAGAUAGACCUAAUAUCCGUAGGGUUGUAGAUUGAUUUCCCCUGAAAAAGCUAUGCUUCUUUCCUUGGAUGAUAAGCAUGUUCCGCAGCUAUGUGGAAUUCUUAAGAUAAACGGUCUUUAGUUUCUUUUGGUGCAUCUGCGUGCACAUAACAGUCUGUUAGUUUCUCAGUCUGUUAGUUUCUCUUUAUAUAAUGAAAAAAUAUAUGUUGUUGUCGCUUGUUUAUUAUUAUCUAUCAUUUGUAUAUUGAUUUUUAGGCCACCAGUACUUGUAUGUAUAAUUUCUAGUCUCUUGAAUGAAUAAUUUUUCUUUAUGUGCCAUGCGUCUUGUGUUACUACAUACAUCUGUCGUGAAGUACAUGGUUCUGGAACUAUGGUAACCCGUAGUUUGCUCUACCCGUGAUAGUAGGAUGAUGGAAGCAUCACUACUGAAUGUAGUUCAUGUUUCUUCAUAUAAUCAUCAUUUACUAGAGUUUCUCUUCUUCUUGCUACUACUUGGUUUUUGACGCCACUAGCUUGUACUGAAAUGUAAACACAUCAUAUUGUUCUCAUCAGACCAGUGUACCUUGAGCAUGCAAAGUAAACACAUGCUACUCCACUUGUCUAUUUUUACAUAAACUUUUGUUUAAAUAAACCGAGCUAAUAAACCAAACGGUGCAAACACAUUCAGUUCUGAAAUUUGUCUACUCCACUUGUUUGAUUGUACUGAAACCUUUGUUUGCAUGUUUCUAAAAUGCAGAGAAGAACACCCUGUGUUCUGGUAAAAUAUUUGUUUGCUAUGAUAUGAAAUUCCAUGAUGUGUGUGUUGUUUCAGUUUCUGUAGCUACAACAAAGUCCUAGUUUACUCUAUACUUGCUUUUGAUGAUUGCUGGCUAAAUUUACAGUUGAAAUAAUAGUAGCCAAGGAGUAGAUACAAGACGUAUUUACCAUAUUUUGCAUGGAAUGUUAAAAAUCAGUUUUGUUGUGGUUUCUUGUUCUGUGAGUCAAAUUGCAUAAGAUGGGAGUAUCACAACAUGCAUAUACUGAAGCUGGGAGUAUCACAACCUGAAUGUGCAGCUUAUGUAGUUUCUGUAUUUUUGUUAAAGCAUGGAGUAGCUUCUAUAGUUUCUGUAUUUUUGUUAAAGCAUGGAGUAGCUUCUAUAGUUUCUGUAUUUCUGUAUUUUCGUUAAAGCAUGGAGUAGCUUCUAUAGCUUCCUCACAAGUUAAUGCUUUGCUCGUCCGGGUGUGUGAUAAUGCCAUUUGUCUUGUGCAAUCAGAUUACAUUUCUGUUUGUUAUGGUAAUAUAAAAAAUAUUCGUGCUGUCAAAAUUUUCACAGUGCGUGUCUUUCAUUUCUUUAAUUUGAUUGUUUCCCUUGUAUUCAAUAUGCUUCUAGUGGCUGAUCCUUCCAUUUUUGUUGUGGCAUCUUUAUUUUCACAGGUGUUGUGUGUUCUGGAAGAUGGAAGAGGAAGAAAUUGUUGAACUAAAUUUUUUGUAUUCUGUUUUGUUGUAUGUAUCAUUUGAUAGUUUUGUAUAGGAACAAGUGAUACUAUUUUGUAGGGCUUUAUGGCCUAUGAUGUAAACAUAUUUAGUGCUGAAAUAUGAAAUUAUUUGCAAAAUUUGUCAAAAAGGUGGAUCAUAUGUAUGAAUAUGUGAAUGGGCUGAAAAGAGUAAUGGACCAACUCCAGGAUUGAAU